CACUGGCGUCAGGAUGAACGCUGGCGGCGUGCCUAACACAUGCAAGUCGAGCGAUUACUUCGGUAAAGAGCGGCGGACGGGUGAGUAACGCGUGGGUAACCUGCCUCAUACACAUGGAUAACAUACCGAAAGGUAUGCUAAUACAGGAUAAUAUAAGAGAUUCACAUGGAUUUCUUAUCAAAGCUCCGGCAGUAUGAGAUGGACCCGCGUCUGAUUAGCUAGUUGGUAAGGUAAUGGCUUACCAAGGCGACGAUCAGUAGCCGACCUGAGAGGGUGAUCGGCCACAUUGGAACUGAGACACGGUCCAAACUCCUACGGGAGGCAGCAGUGGGGAAUAUUGCACAAUGGGCGAAAGCCUGAUGCAGCAACGCCGCGUGAGUGAUGAAGGCCUUCGGGUCGUAAAACUCUGUCCUCAAAGAAGAUAAUGACGGUACUUGAGGAGGAAGCCCCGGCUAACUACGUGCCAGCCGCCGC
RNAcentral lists this ribosomal RNA (474 nucleotides) under uncultured bacterium. Its description in RNAcentral is "bacterial SSU rRNA". It matches the Rfam family "Bacterial small subunit ribosomal RNA", at positions 26 to 518 of the family's 1533-position model. The record is from RNAcentral.